AUCCGGGUUGCGGACAGUGUCUGGUGGGUAGUUUGACUGGGGCGGUCUCCUCCUAAAGAGUAACGGAGGAGCACGAAGGUUGGCUAAUCCUGGUCGGACAUCAGGAGGUUAGUGCAAAGGCAUAAGCCAGCUUGACUGCGAGAGUGACGGCUCGAGCAGGUGCGAAAGCAGGUCUUAGUGAUCCGGUGGUUCUGAAUGGAAGGGCCAUCGCUCAACGGAUAAAAGGUACUCCGGGGAUAACAGGCUGAUACCGCCCAAGAGUUCAUAUCGACGGCGGUGUUUGGCACCUCGAUGUCGGCUCAUCACAUCCUGGGGCUGAAGUAGGUCCCAAGGGUAUGGCUGUUCGCCAUUUAAAGUGGUACGCGAGCUGGGUUUAGAACGUCGUGAGACAGUUCGGUCCCUAUCUGCCGUGGGCGCUGGAGAAUUGAGGGGGGCUGCUCCUAGUACGAGAGGACCGGAGUGGACGCAUCACUGGUGUUCGGGUUGUCAUGCCAAUGGCACUGCCCGGUAGCUAAAUGCGGAAGAGAUAAGUGCUGAAAGCAUCUAAGCACGAAACUUGCCCCGAGAUGAGUUCUCCCUGAGACUUAGAGUCUCCUGAAGGAACGUUGAAGACGACGACGUUGAUAGGCCGGGUGUGUAAGCGCAGCGAUGCGUUGAGCUAACCGGUACUAAUGAACCGUGAGGCUUAACCUU
This 693-nucleotide ribosomal RNA is filed under the name Salmonella enterica. RNAcentral describes it as "partial 23S ribosomal RNA". It matches the Rfam family "Bacterial large subunit ribosomal RNA", at positions 2238 to 2925 of the family's 2925-position model. Lineage: Bacteria; Pseudomonadati; Pseudomonadota; Gammaproteobacteria; Enterobacterales; Enterobacteriaceae. The record is from RNAcentral.